Homalodisca vitripennis (glassy-winged sharpshooter) is the source of this 673-nucleotide long non-coding RNA. RefSeq lists it as uncharacterized. The record is from RefSeq and is a predicted model, not a curated record. The transcript has 2 exons. Lineage: Eukaryota; Metazoa; Arthropoda; Insecta; Hemiptera; Cicadellidae.
GAAGUCUGUGCCAGCUGUGUUUGAUUUGUAAACAAAUUGGUUGAGGCAUAUCUUUUCCUUACUCGGUGAUAACGUUACAUCAUAAAACAACUUAUAUCAACUAAUGCCACUUUAUCUUGUUGGCUCGUUAUAUCAUAGUAAUGUGUUACUCUCAGUACCCAAGUUAAACUGGUGAAGUACAGUGAACCAUACUUAACUCACACAGUACCCAGAACACCAGUACGGGUCGAGCCGGGUCCACAGUGCCAACUACCACUACUGAAGUACAGCUCAGACCUCGUUAUUUAAUUGUACUUCUUUUUACUUUUAUUUUUUUAUGUAUAACAUUUAAAUAUGUACAUUUUGUAUGUAGGCUACAUAAAAACUUUCAAUAAAUAUUACUGCUGAACUAUUACUUCAUAACUUUUUGGUUUUACAAUUUAUGAUGCUUUACAAAAUUGUCUUAUCAGACAAGAUUCCACCUGCAAAGAAGAGCCAGCCUACACAAGUAUGCAAAGUAUGUAAAAAAAACCCAGGUGGUGUGCAGACUUCAGAGUACAACAUUGUAUACUAGUUUCAUUUAAAACAUGCCAACUACUAGGGUUUUAAAGCUAUGUAGUAGUUCUUUUAAUAUUUUUACAUAAUAUUCAAACCCAUGUAAUAAUUUUUAUUUUGAAAAUAAACUUCACCUGUA